AUUACCCAAUCCCAGAACGGGGAGGUAGUGACGAAAAAUAACAAUACGAGACUCUUAUGAGGCCUCGUAAUUGGAAUGAGAACAAUAUAAAUCACUUAGCGAGGAUCUAUUGGAGGGCAAGUCUGGUGCCAGCAGCCGCGGUAAUUCCAGCUCCAAUAGCGUAUAUUAAAGUUGUUGUGGUUAAAAAGCUCGUAGUUGGAUCUCAGUUCUUAGUCAGACGGUCCACUUGAUAGUGGUUACUGUUUGGCUGAACACUGUUUACCGAUUGAUUCAGUCCCAUGGUGCUCUUUACCGGGUGUCAUGGGCGAUCGGUACGUUUACUUUGAAAAAAUUAGAGUGCUCAAAGCAGGCGUCAAUGCCCGAAUAAUGUUGCAUGGAAUAAUGGAAUAGGACCUCGGUUCUAUUUUGUUGGUCUCCGGAGCGUGAGGUAAUGAUCAAUAGGGACAGACGGGGCUAUUCGUAU
RNAcentral lists this ribosomal RNA (463 nucleotides) under Ramusella clavipectinata. Its description in RNAcentral is "SSU rRNA". It matches the Rfam family "Eukaryotic small subunit ribosomal RNA", at positions 440 to 897 of the family's 1831-position model. Lineage: Eukaryota; Metazoa; Arthropoda; Arachnida; Sarcoptiformes; Oppiidae. The record is from RNAcentral.